UGAGCUACGGAGGGAUCAGGCUUGCGGGA
Molecule: non-coding RNA, 29 nt
Filed under: Rattus norvegicus (Norway rat)
Lineage: Eukaryota; Metazoa; Chordata; Mammalia; Rodentia; Muridae
Source: RNAcentral